This 534-nucleotide ribosomal RNA is filed under the name Lactobacillus gasseri. RNAcentral's name for it is "bacterial SSU rRNA". It matches the Rfam family "Bacterial small subunit ribosomal RNA", at positions 35 to 522 of the family's 1533-position model. The record is from RNAcentral. Lineage: Bacteria; Bacillati; Bacillota; Bacilli; Lactobacillales; Lactobacillaceae.
UCAGAAGCUGGCGGCGUGCCUAAUACAUGCAAGUCGAGCGAGCUUGCCUAGAUGAAUUUGGUGCUUGCACCAAAUGAAACUAGAUACAAGCGAGCGGCGGACGGGUGAGUAACACGUGGGUAACCUGCCCAAGAGACUGGGAUAACACCUGGAAACAGAUGCUAAUACCGGAUAACAACACUAGACGCAUGUCUAGAGUUUAAAAGAUGGUUCUGCUAUCACUCUUGGAUGGACCUGCGGUGCAUUAGCUAGUUGGUAAGGUAACGGCUUACCAAGGCAAUGAUGCAUAGCCGAGUUGAGAGACUGAUCGGCCACAUUGGGACUGAGACACGGCCCAAACUCCUACGGGAGGCAGCAGUAGGGAAUCUUCCACAAUGGACGCAAGUCUGAUGGAGCAACGCCGCGUGAGUGAAGAAGGGUUUCGACUCGUAAAGCUCUGUUGGUAGUGAAGAAAGAUAGAGGUAGUAACUGGCCUUUAUUUGACGGUAAUUACUUAGAAAGUCACGGCUAACUACGUGCCAGCGCCCCGCGGUA